Molecule: transfer RNA, 73 nt
Filed under: Camelus bactrianus (Bactrian camel)
Lineage: Eukaryota; Metazoa; Chordata; Mammalia; Artiodactyla; Camelidae
Also listed under: 2 other names
Rfam family: tRNA
About the family: Transfer RNA (tRNA) molecules are approximately 80 nucleotides in length.
Source: Rfam by way of RNAcentral
GUGGGUGUAGCUCAAGCGGUAGAGUGCAUGCUUAGCAUGCACAAGGUCCUGGGUUCAAUCCCCGGUACCUCCU